UACGUAGGGUGCAAGCGUUAAUCGGAAUUACUGGGCGUAAAGCGUGCGCAGGCGGUUAUGUAAGACAGUUGUGAAAUCCCCGGGCUCAACCUGGGAACUGCAUCUGUGACUGCAUAGCUAGAGUACGGUAGAGGGGGAUGGAAUUCCGCGUGUAGCAGUGAAAUGCGUAGAGAUCCGGAGGAACACCAGUGGCGAAGGCGACACGCUGGGCCGUACCUGACACUGAUGCGCGACAGCAUGGGGAGCAAACAGG
This 253-nucleotide ribosomal RNA is filed under the name uncultured bacterium. Its description in RNAcentral is "partial 16S ribosomal RNA". It matches the Rfam family "Bacterial small subunit ribosomal RNA", at positions 524 to 776 of the family's 1533-position model. The record is from RNAcentral.